This 546-nucleotide ribosomal RNA is filed under the name uncultured bacterium. Its description in RNAcentral is "bacterial SSU rRNA". It matches the Rfam family "Bacterial small subunit ribosomal RNA", at positions 30 to 530 of the family's 1533-position model. The record is from RNAcentral.
AUUGAACGCUGGCGGUAUGCUUUACACAUGCAAGUCGAACGGUAACAGGUCUUCGGAUGCUGACGAGUGGCGAACGGGUGAGUAAUGUAUCGGAACGUGCCUAGUAAUGGGGGAUAACCACUCGAAAGAGUGACUAAUACCGCAUAAUAUCUCAGGAUGAAAGCGGGGGAUCGCAAGACCUCGCGUUAUUAGAGCGGCCGAUAUCAGAUUAGGUAGUUGGUGGGAUAAAAGCCUACCAAGCCAACGAUCUGUAGCUGGUCUGAGAGGACGACCAGCCACACUGGGACUGAGACACGGCCCAGACUCCUACGGGAGGCAGCAGUGGGGAAUUUUGGACAAUGGGCGAAAGCCUGAUCCAGCAAUACCGCGUGCAGGACGAAGGCCUUCGGGUUGUAACUAGCUUUUGUACGGUAACGAAACGGUACGUAGAGUUAAUUAACUACUGUAACUAAACUUAGUACGGUACCGGUAACGGUAAAGUAAAGUACGACCGGACCGUAACCUAACCGUACGUCCGACGACGACGCCGCCGGUAACGUAACUUCG